AUGAUAACUUGUUCAUGUUCAGUAGACGUGACCGUCUAAAAACUGUAAUGAGGACACUCUACUUCACACUCUAUUGAGCGAAUGGAAAAUUGCUUAUACUAGCCCAUAUAUGAAUAAUUGGAGUGGCUGAAUACAGGUGAUUGUUCUUGGUCUAGGCCUCAAUUGAUGGAUUGUUAUUUUAAAUUUUCAUUGAAGUGUUCAACAGAAAUAUUUGAGUAAAUUAGCGCAGAUGUUUAUUACUUCAAUUGGCUGAUGAUUCCCAGGUGAAACCUCUGGACACUGUGAACUUAACGAGAUGGAACAAAAGUACUAUCAUCAUACUUUCAAAUACUGGACUACAAUUUCAUGAACCACUGAUGCAAUACAUUUACAUUUUAAACACUAAGAAGUGUAUUAACUGAAUAUUUUGAAUCACAACUGAAAAAUAUUAUAAACUAAAUUUGACAUAAUUAGACAUCGGUGUGAUAAAAUAAAACAAUGUCAGCUUUGAAAGGAUGGAUCCCUAAAGGAAAGUAUAGACUGAUCGUGCUCCUGUUGAUGUGGAUUAUUCUGUUUCAGAUAUUCAUAUUUGGUCUUAUUGCAUCAAAUCUAACACAUUCUCAUGCUGUAAACCAUAGCAAUAAAGAUGUAACACUAGCAAGAGGAGAGAUGAUGUCAAAUGAUGCAAAAGACAAAAACGACAGAAAGGACAAUAAUUCAAAUUGGGAAAGUACUAAUAUUAAUGAUGAGGCGAACGAUUUAAAAAUGCAAUUUGGAGAAACAAGAAGCAAAACAAAAAUCAAUGAUGAUACUCUAAAACAAAUAUUAAAAAUCCUUAAACGAUUGAAAUCUGAAAAAGUAGAAAGAUAUAAUAGUGCCAAUGAUAAUAAUGAGAGCACUAUCCAAAAACAUUUUGCUAGUAAUACAGAUAUAGAUGAACAUCAACUCAGAGUUGACAGAAUGCUGAGGAAGGUACAUGCAAUUUGGAAUGGGACAGAUACCUAUGUAGCCAACCAUAGAAGUCUAAAAGUAUGGGAUAGAGCUAAGAUACAUGAUGCGGUUAUUAGUCCACAUGACUAUACAUACUUGAUCAAUGAACCAAACAUAUGUAAAGAUGAUCUGUUUCUGUUGGUUUACGUUUAUACUGCUCCUUCAAAUGCCUAUCAAAGGAAGGUUAUUCGAGAAACAUGGGGGAAAGUAUCCCUAUAUUCAUCUCUAGGGGUUGUCAUAAGGGUAGUUUUCCUUCUUGGAAAAACACAUAUUGAAACAGUCCAAGAAAGUAUAACACAGGAAAGUAAAAUAUAUCAUGAUAUUGUACAGGAAGAUUUUAUAGAUGCUUAUGAGAAUUUAUCCCAUAAAGGAAUCAUGGGAUUAAAAUGGGUGACAAAGUUUUGCCGAAAUACAAAAUUUGUCUUAAAAAUUGAUGAUGAUGUCCUUGUGAACAUGUUUAAACUCAUCACACAACUUAAGAAUAUGAUCUCAUCCGGAGAAUCUUCUGAGAAAAUUAUACGAGGAAACGUCUGGGCAAAUGGUAUAAUGCCAGUUGUUAGAGAAAAGGGUACUACACUUUAUGUUUCCCCUGAGGUAUACCCAAAUGAGAACUAUGGGGAAUACUGCUCAGGAGCUGCUUACCUGUUGACCCAGCCAGCAGUUCGAGCUAUUUACAAAAAAUCACUAUAUGUGCCAUAUAUUCAUAUAGAAGAUUACUACAUAACAGGCCGUAUAGCAACUUUAGCGGGUGUAACUAGGAAAAAAUUUGACAAUACAACACAAGCUUAUCUUCUUUUUGAUGAAUAUUUUCUACUAAUGUAUCAAUCUGACGCAAGUGACUCAUUGAUUUUUGGACUAUCAUCAAAUAUAAUGUAUGUUCCACAAGCUUGGCAGCGUAUUUUGUUGAGACAUUCACAAGGGGUUUACUAAAUACAGUACAAGAUAGAGGCUUCAACUAUAUUUCAGUUAUACUAAGUAUACAGUGUAUGUUUUUCAUAAAUCUACAACUUAAAAGGGCGAACCUGAUAUAUAAGGUAUCAACUAUGUUAAAGACGUACUAGACAUAUUCUGCAUUAAUCUACAACUUACAAGGUGAACUAGACAUGUUUUGCAUGAAUCUACAACUUACAAGGUGUACUAGACAUGUUUUGCAUGAAUCUACAACUUACAAGAUGUACUAGACAUGUUUAGCAUGAAUC
Molecule: unclassified non-coding RNA, 2168 nt
Filed under: Owenia fusiformis
Lineage: Eukaryota; Metazoa; Annelida; Polychaeta; Sabellida; Oweniidae
Description: hexosyltransferase
Source: RNAcentral